Molecule: non-coding RNA, 1093 nt
Organism: Pimephales promelas (fathead minnow)
Lineage: Eukaryota; Metazoa; Chordata; Actinopteri; Cypriniformes; Leuciscidae
Source: RefSeq, a predicted model, not a curated record
GUAAUAGGCCUGGUUAAGAUCAUAAAAGCUAAGGAAAUGUUAACACUUAAAAGAAGUACCAGUAAACUAGCAUGAUUUUGUUUCCAAAACAGCAUAAAGCCACAGGGAGUUGCAGACCAUUGGCUGUAUAUAAUCAAGGAUGCAGUCACUCAACAAAGUAUUUGGACUCUUAAGCCACAAUUAAACAGGUGUGUACGGAUGUGCUUCUCUUACUGCGUGCCUCAUGCGUGUUCGCGUCUGAGGUUGCGAGUGUGACAGACACAGAGAGACCCCCUCACACUCCCCAGAGACGGUCAUAGACAGCUCAUCUUCCAGGUGAAGGGAUUUGGUGGCCUCCAGGGUCUGCCAUCAUCAGCAGCCGGCAAGCUGUUUCCAGGCAGCUCAGAGGCAAACAACUAUUGUUGAGUGUCAUAUAUGACAACGUGCAAGUCUUUUUUCCACCGUGAUCUGGCACGACGCCACGUGUUAAAGGUCAUCAUGCCUUUCUCAUCAAAAUGUUACACCCCCACUCCACUCUGGAUGAAAAGGGUCCUGUGAGAGAGGAGUGUACAGCCAACCACAUGGCAGGACAGGCGCGGUGUCCUGGGCUGGGGCCUUAUGGAAGGUCAGGGGGGUUGGCGAGUAGCGGCAGCCAGGACUCUGAAGGAAACAGUGGGAGAAUGGGGCGGCUUGAGCCCGCUGGUCACCAGCCAACAUGCCCAACCUCGAGAGUUUGCUUUCCUCGACUCUUGUCUCUCAAAGCACUCCAAAUUUGUGGCGAGCGAGGUAUGCAAAACGACACAAUGUAGUUAUUUUGGUUCGGUGUAGUAAAGGCGACAUUGCUGACAUUGCCCAUUAUAAAUCUAUAACUCAUUUAUAUAAAGUAUAGUAGGCAUAAUCAGGGUUUUCGCAUUUAUUUGUAUAGCGCUUUCGCGAUACAUAUUGUUUCAAAGUAGCUUUACAUAAAAUGCUUGUUUCAAAGAUGAGUGUAUCAAAGUAAUGUCCAUAUGGCAGUGAUAUGCUCUUAAAGUUAACAUGUAUUCAGUCAAGCAGACACCAUAAACGUGUUACAACUUAUGCUCGUAAUGAUUACAAUACAAGGUUAAUAUACAAU